This 406-nucleotide ribosomal RNA is filed under the name uncultured bacterium. Its description in RNAcentral is "partial 16S ribosomal RNA". It matches the Rfam family "Bacterial small subunit ribosomal RNA", at positions 30 to 526 of the family's 1533-position model. The record is from RNAcentral.
AUUGAACGCUGGCGGCAGGCCUAACACAUGCAAGUCGAACGAGUGGCGGACGGGUGAGUAAUGUCUGGGAAACUGCCUGAUGGAGGGGGAUAACUACUGGAAACGGUAGCUAAUACCGCAUACCAUCGGAUGUGCCCAGAUGGGAUUAGCUAGUAGGUGGGGAAAAGGCUCACCUAGGCGACGAUCCCUAGCUGGUCUGAGAGGAUGACCGGACACGCUGGGACUGAGACGCGGUCUGGAAUCCUACGGGUGGCAGAAGUUGGGAGUAUUGCAAAAUGGACGCAAGCCUGAUGCAGCCAUGCGGCGUGUAUGAAGAAGGUCUUCGGGUUGUAAAGUACUUUGAGCAGGGAGGCGUUACCCGCAGAAGAAGCACCGGCUAACUCCGUGCCAGCCGCCGCGGUAAUUC